AUGGCGGGGUACGACUUAACUACUUGAAUCACGCACCUUUUGUAUCAGCAUCUAGUCUUUCCGCUCCUUGAGUUUCUCUCUGUAAAAAAGAUAUAUAAUGAAAAGGAAUUAUUACAAGGUAAAUUGGACCUUCUUAGUGAUACCAACAUGGUAGGUUUUGCUAUGGAUGUAUACAAAAACCUUUAUUCUGAUGAUAUUCCUCAUGCUUUGAGAGAGAAAAGAACCACAGUUGUUGCACAACUGAAACAGCUUCAGGCAGAAACAAAACUAAUUGUGAAAAUGUUUGAAGAUCCAGAAACGACAAGGCAAAUGCAGUCAACCAGGGAUGGUAGGAUGCUCUUUGACUGCCUGGCGGACAAGCAUGGUUUUAGGCAGGAAUAUUUACAUACACUCUACAGAUAUGCAAAAUUCCAAUAUGAAUGUGGGAAUUACUCAGGAGCAGCAGAAUAUCUUUAUUUUUUCAGAGUGUUGGUUCCAGCAACAGAUAGAAAUGCUGCAAGUUCACGCUGGGGAAAGCUGGCCUCUGAAAUCUUACAGCAGAAUUGCGAUGCAGACAUGGAAGACCUUACAUGGUUAAAAGAGACCAUAGAUAAUAAUUCUGUGAGUUCUCCACUCCAGUCUCUUCAGCAGAGAGCAUGGCUCAUUCACUGGUCUCUGUUUUUUCUUCAGUCACCCCAAAGGUGUGAUAUUAUUGAUCUCUUCCUUUACCAGUCACAGUAUCUUAAUGCAAUUCAGAUAAUGUGUCCACACAUUCUUCACUAUUUGACUACAGCAGUCAUAACAAACAAGAGUGUUCAAAAACAUUGGCAGGUGCUAAAAGAUCUAGUUAAAGUUACUCAACAGGAGUCUUACACAUAUAAAGACCCAAUUACAGAAUCUGUUGAAUGCUUAUAUGUUAACUUUGAUGGGGAAGAAGCUGAGAGAAUGUGAAUCGGUGCCUUGUGAAUGACUUCUUCUUGGUGGUUUGUCUUAAGAAUUUCAUUGACAUUGCCCAUCUCUUCAUAUUUGACACUUUCUGUCACAUCCACCAGUGUAUCGGCAUUAACAUGUUGGCAGACAAAUUGAACAUGACUCCAGAAGAAACUGAAAGAUAGAUUGUAAAUUUGAUUAGAAAUGCAAGACUAGAUGCCAAGAUUGAUUCUAAAUUAGGUCCUGUGGUUAUGGUAACAAUGCAGUCUCACCCUAUCAGCAAGUGAAUGAAAAGACCAAAAACCUUUCUUUUAGAAGCUAGAUGUUGGCCAUGAAUAUUGAGAAGAAACUUAAUGAGAAUAGUAGGUCAGAGGCUCCUAACUGGGCAACUCAAGAUUCUGGCUUCUACUGAAGAAACAUGAGGAAAAGAU
Molecule: RNA transcript, 1340 nt
Organism: Rhinopithecus roxellana (golden snub-nosed monkey)
Lineage: Eukaryota; Metazoa; Chordata; Mammalia; Primates; Cercopithecidae
Gene name: eukaryotic translation initiation factor 3 subunit E pseudogene
Exons: 1
Source: RefSeq, a predicted model, not a curated record